UUUGACUUUGCCACCAAGAUAUAAAGUAAUGGCUGUUAAUAGGAAGAAAUACAGAAACGAGAAUGACGGAAGAACAAACAGUCAGAUAGCCCUCAAUCUUGUACCAUUUUAAAAAUUUACUGAGGAAGAGCAGGAGAGAGGGGAAGAAAAGAAGACUUUAUGUUAUCUCAGAGACGACUGGAUUCAGUCUGAUGUCAGAGUUGGCGAUAUAAUACAUAUUGUCUCCAGCUGCUCAACUUUAAGUGCUUCUGUUUCUCAUGCUCCUUCACAGGAUUGCUUUGUCAUCAGUAAUGAUAAUGCUGGAUGUAUUAUCAUUAAUCCAGAUUAUCUUGUUUGUGUAAGUAGCAUUAGUAAUGGAAUCACUUGCACCAGAAGAUCUAUCCUUGAGGAUCUAUUCAAAGGUUAUUCUCAAACAGAAGCUAUGUUGGUUGGUAAGUUACUCCACUAGAUGUUUCAAAAGGCAAUACUAGCCGCUUCACAGCAUGCAUCAGUGGUCACCAGAGACUUUGUACUAUCAUUGAUACCUCCUUUAGUGAACAAUGUAUCAGUUAUGCAAGAACUUUAUGUAUUAGGAUUAACUGAAUGUAAUUUAUCUGAGAGUUUAUCUGAGCAUGUGAAUCUCAUAGCUACAUGGUGCAAUCAGUAUCAAAAUAUUACCUACACGAAUAAUAAUAAGAUUGAGUGGAAAAGAUUCCCUCGUUCCAAAACUGAACUGGUUAACAUGUGUAUCACAGACGUUACAGACAUAGAGGAAAGCGUAUGGUCUCCUAGGU
This is a long non-coding RNA of Amphimedon queenslandica, 773 nucleotides long. RefSeq lists it as uncharacterized. The record is from RefSeq and is a predicted model, not a curated record. Lineage: Eukaryota; Metazoa; Porifera; Demospongiae; Haplosclerida; Niphatidae. The transcript has 6 exons.